GAAGUGUGCGUUCCCAAGCCUUUUCGCUUUCCAUUUUAUCUUUCCAUUUCUCUCUCUCCCGUGCUUUCUAGAGCUAGUACUCUGGGAGGAGUAGCGAUUUGGCGAUUGAAGAUGCGAAGGAAGGCACCACACUAAGUAAGGUUGCGAGAAUGGAAAGCGUUUUAGAGGUUGUUUCCUUUUUGUAGCAUUUUGGUGUUUUUUGUCUCUUUAUUUUGACCUAUUUACAAAAUUCGUUGUUUUGUGCUUUGUUCUGUGUUCAGAGUUUCAUGGGGGCACAAAAAAAGUUUUAUUUUUGUUGAUAGAGGGUUUUACUCGGUUGAAACGUUGCUGCUUCUGCUCGCUCUUAAGGACCCAACUCAACAUACUGCUAUUGACAACUUAAUGGUUCAACAGCUUGAUGGAACUGUUAACGAAUGGGGUUGGUGCAAGCAAAAGGUGCUUAGCUGAUGGAACUGUUAUUCCACGUUACCACGGGUUUGAAUAAUCAUUUUGUUUAUGAAUGCAUGUUUGGAUUUCCUUUUAUUUUUUUCCAAUUAUAUAGGUAACCCUUAAAUUUUCCCUUCAGUUUAUGCAUGUUUGAAUUUCCUUUUAUUUUUUCCAAUUAUAUAGGUAACCCUUAAAUUUUCCCUUCAGUUUAUGCAUGUUUGGAUUUCCUUUUAUUUUUUCCAAUUAUAUAGGUAACCCUUAAAUUUUCCCUUCAGUUUUUUGAGUUUAUAUAUGUAUUCCCUGAAUUGAUCUAACAUGAAUAGCUUUCUAAGGGUACUCUUCUCGGGAUGAGGCAAACCAUUUUUGAGUUUAUAUUUGAUUCCCUGAAUCGAAGGUACCCUUCCUUCAGUUUUUUGAGAAUAUAUAUGUAUUCCCUUUUGUGAUCACAACAAUUUGGUGCUGUCAAGUGGGUUGGUGUUCUUUUUCUCAGGGGAUUGCAACAGCCAUAGAUGUUUAAACACAUAGAUUGCUAACCAAGAUAGCAUUGCUGGAAUUUCUCGCAUGAGGUUUGUCUGCACAACUCUAGGAUCCGCAGCACUAAUAUGCAACAAUACAGAAACUGAAUGUAAAAGAGAAACCUUCCCAACUGGAUUCCAAUGCUCUAUGUAUUCAGAGGAUGCAGUUCAUAAUGGAAUUAGAGAUUGACCUUCUAGCUUUGGAUCAAUCGGAGAGGCUGCAGACAUAUUUUCUGGGCUGGAAUCUCUUAAUGAUUUUCUCACCUAAGCUGCCACUGAUAGAGGAACAUUUGGUCCAUUUUGAAUUAUCCAUUCUGCAAAUUGUGUUUUAAAGUCUGAAUUUGCAGUUCUAGACUUCUGGUAUGGAUUUAUUUGGGGAAAAUAAAGAUCUAUAUCUUGAUGGACUAAUUUGAUAAGACUAGGAAGUUAACUUUAGCUUUCUAGAAAAAAAUAAAUAAAUAUGUCAAUUCAACUAUGCACACUUCUUUCAAACUACAAAUUUUACCUCUUGGCUACCUUGGUUGGAUUUAUGCAGGCCAUGUUGAAUUAAAUUGUGGCUGAGUUGAAAGGAAUUGUAUGAUUUUGUUGCCAAAUCUAUAGAUGAUUUAAGGAGAUAAUGUUACAUGAUGCAUGUUUUUCCUAUGUCUAAGUUGGUUUUUCCUAGAAAUGUUCUAAAGAAUCAUCAACGCAUGUUGCGCGCACCUGGGAGGCUGAGACAAACUCAUCCAAACAUUGUAUCUCAAGAGAAUAGUGCACCACCAUUUCCUUCUAUUUU
This is a long non-coding RNA of Glycine soja, 1716 nucleotides long. RefSeq lists it as uncharacterized. The transcript has 5 exons. The record is from RefSeq and is a predicted model, not a curated record. Lineage: Eukaryota; Viridiplantae; Streptophyta; Magnoliopsida; Fabales; Fabaceae.